RNAcentral lists this ribosomal RNA (460 nucleotides) under uncultured bacterium. RNAcentral describes it as "partial 16S ribosomal RNA". It matches the Rfam family "Bacterial small subunit ribosomal RNA", at positions 338 to 795 of the family's 1533-position model. The record is from RNAcentral.
CCUACGGGAGGCUGCAGUGAGGAAUAUUGGUCAAUGGACGAGAGUCUGAACCAGCCAAGUAGCGUGAAGGAUGACUGCCCUAUGGGUUGUAAACUUCUUUUAUAAAGGAAUAAAACGAGGCACGUGUGCCUUUUUGCAUGUACUUUAUGAAUAAGGAUCGACUAACUCCGUGCCAGCAGCCGCGGUACUACGGAGGAUCCGAGCGUUAUCCGGAUUUAUUGGGUUUAAAGGGAGCGUAGAUGGGUUGUUAAGUCAGUUGUGAAAGUUUGCGGCUCAACCGGAAAAUUGCAAUUGAUACUGGCAGGCUAGAGUACAGUUGAGGGAGGCGGAAUUCGUGGUGUAGCGGUGAAAUGCUUAGAGAUCACGAAGAACCCCGAUGGCGAAGGCAGCUUACUAAACAGUGACUGACAUUGAGGCGCGAAAGCGUGGGGAGCAAACAGGAUUAGAUACCCCUGUAGUC